GACCUUCUUUUGUUCUAUUUUCGUGGGCUUUUCUCUUUGUCUUUCAGACACCACUAUUCUGGACUCCUUCUCCCCAUUCUAACUACCUAACAAUUGAUUCAGAGUUUGUGAUCAGCUAAGGUCUAAUUUCCUCCAGAUAUUUUAGUGGUCAAGAGAAAACAUUCUUUCUCUGGAAAGGAGUAUUUCUCCAUCUGAGGGCCUGUGUGGUCCCUGGGGAGGGGCCAUCUGUGGAUGCACCCGUGAUACUAUUUGUGGACAUUUAGGAACAUGCAUCAAGGCUACUAAGAGCAGAGUUGGUUUGCUCUUUCUGAAUGUCUUUAGAGAGGAAGCUGAUCCUGGGAAGGAGAAGAGAGCCCCUGGCUGCUCCAGGGGGAGAAAAGGGACCCUGGAUAUGAUGAUGUUAAACUCAGUGCCCCUGGAACUUCCAGAGUGACUUUCUUGUGAUUUGUAUUAAAUACAAGAUGAUGCCUCAGAUAUUCUAAUUGUCUGUAUUCAAUAGAGUAGUGCUGACUUGUGAUUGUGUUAUAUGGAAAUUGCUCAAAGUGAAAUAUUCUGAAUAAAGUAGCUUUUUUUGCUUUGUUAAUUAUUACCAAGUUCCAUGUCAAAUGCUUUUAGAGGAUUGGUCUGUAAACACCAUUUUCCUCAAAGGAAAUACAGGAUAAGUGCACUGCCCUGAUUUCUCACCUCCUUCAAAGGCUAGUAAGGGCAUGAAUUUGCCCAGGAUCACAGAUGCUCCAGGUCACUCUUGCUUAGAAAAAGCAUCUAAACUUGGUCCACAUUCACACCCUC
Molecule: long non-coding RNA, 789 nt
Filed under: Capra hircus (goat)
Lineage: Eukaryota; Metazoa; Chordata; Mammalia; Artiodactyla; Bovidae
Description: lncRNA (ENSCHIG00010002900.1)
Source: RNAcentral